This 250-nucleotide ribosomal RNA is filed under the name uncultured bacterium. RNAcentral's name for it is "partial 16S ribosomal RNA". It matches the Rfam family "Bacterial small subunit ribosomal RNA", at positions 524 to 773 of the family's 1533-position model. The record is from RNAcentral.
UACGUAGGGAGCAAGCGUUAUCCGGAAUUACUGGGCGUAAAGGGUGAGUAGGCGGCUAUGUAAGUCAUAUGUGAAAGGCAGGGGCUCAACCCCUGGACUGCAUAAGAAACUAUAUAGCUAGAGUGUGGGAGAGGCAAGCGGAAUUCCUAGUGUAGCGGUGAAAUGCGUAGAUAUUAGGAAGAACACCGGUGGCGAAGGCGGCUUGCUGGACCAUAACUGACGCUGAGGCACGAAAGCGUGGGGAGCGAAC